UAUCUGCAGUCGAGCGGACAGAAGGGAGCUUGCUCCCGGAUGUUAGCGGCGGACGGGUGAGUAACACGUGGGUAACCUGCCUGUAAGACUGGGAUAACUCCGGGAAACCGGAGCUAAUACCGGAUAGUUCCUUGAACCGCAUGGUUCAAGGAUGAAAGACGGUUUCGGCUGUCACUUACAGAUGGACCCGCGGCGCAUUAGCUAGUUGGUGAGGUAACGGCUCACCAAGGCGACGAUGCGUAGCCGACCUGAGAGGGUGAUCGGCCACACUGGGACUGAGACACGGCCCAGACUCCUACGGGAGGCAGCAGUAGGGAAUCUUCCGCAAUGGACGAAAGUCUGACGGAGCAACGCCGCGUGAGUGAUGAAGGUUUUCGGAUCGUAAAGCUCUGUUGUUAGGGAAGAACAAGUGCAAGAGUAACUGCUUGCACCUUGACGGUACCUAACCAGAAAGCCACGGCUAACUACGUGCCAGCAGCCGCGGUAAUACGUAGGUGGCAAGCGUUGUCCGGAAUUAUUGGGCGUAAAGGGCUCGCAGGCGGUUUCUUAAGUCUGAUGUGAAAGCCCCCGGCUCAACCGGGGAGGGUCAUUGGAAACUGGGAAACUUGAGUGCAGAAGAGGAGAGUGGAAUUCCACGUGUAGCGGUGAAAUGCGUAGAGAUGUGGAGGAACACCAGUGGCGAAGGCGACUCUCUGGUCUGUAACUGACGCUGAAGAGCGAAAGCGUGGGGAGCGAACAGGAUUAGAUACCCUGGUAGUCCACGCCGUAAACGAUGAGUGCUAAGUGUUAGGGGGUUUCCGCCCCUUAGUGCUGCAGCUAACGCAUUAAGCACUCCGCCUGGGGAGUACGGU
Molecule: ribosomal RNA, 851 nt
Filed under: uncultured bacterium
Lineage: Bacteria
Description: bacterial SSU rRNA
Rfam family: Bacterial small subunit ribosomal RNA
Source: RNAcentral